GUUAAUCGGAAUUACUGGGCGUAAAGCGUGCGCAUGCGGUUCGGUGUGUCCGAUGUGAAAGCCCCGGGCUUAACCUGGGAAUGGCAUUGGAAACUGGCGAGCUUGAGUGCGGCAGAGGGGGGUGGAAUUCCGCGUGUAGCAGUGAAAUGCGUAGAGAUGCGGAGGAACACCGAUGGCGAAGGCAGCCCCCUGGGUCGACACUGACGCUCAGGCACGAAAGCGUGGGGAGCAAACAGG
This 237-nucleotide ribosomal RNA is filed under the name uncultured bacterium. Its description in RNAcentral is "partial 16S ribosomal RNA". It matches the Rfam family "Bacterial small subunit ribosomal RNA", at positions 540 to 776 of the family's 1533-position model. The record is from RNAcentral.